RNAcentral lists this ribosomal RNA (252 nucleotides) under uncultured bacterium. RNAcentral's name for it is "partial 16S ribosomal RNA". It matches the Rfam family "Bacterial small subunit ribosomal RNA", at positions 524 to 776 of the family's 1533-position model. The record is from RNAcentral.
UACGUAGGGGGCGAGCGUUAUCCGGAUUCACUGGGUGUAAGGGGAGCGUAGACGGCCAUGCAAGCCAGGGGUGAAAGCCCGGGGCCCAACCCCGGGACUGCCCUUGGAACUGCAUGGCUGGAGUGCGGGAGGGGCGGCGGAAUUCCUGGUGUAGCGGUGAAAUGCGUAGAUAUCAGGAGGAACACCGGCGGCGAAGGCGGCCUGCUGGACCGCGACUGACGUUGAGGCUCGAAAGCGUGGGGAGCGAACAGG